ACUGGGAUAGCUCAGUUGGUAGAGCAUGAGACUCUUAAUCUUGGGGUUGUGGGUUUGAGCCCCACGCUGGGCA
This 73-nucleotide transfer RNA is filed under the name Podarcis lilfordi (Lilford's wall lizard). RNAcentral's name for it is "tRNA.Lys". The stretch from base 8 to 65 matches the Rfam family "tRNA", at positions 8 to 63 of the family's 71-position model. From Rfam's summary of the family: Transfer RNA (tRNA) molecules are approximately 80 nucleotides in length. Their secondary structure includes four short double-helical elements and three loops (D, anti-codon, and T loops). Further hydrogen bonds mediate the characteristic L-shaped molecular structure. tRNAs have two regions of fundamental functional importance: the anti-codon, which is responsible for specific mRNA codon recognition, and the 3' end, to which the tRNAs corresponding amino acid is attached (by aminoacyl-tRNA synthetases). tRNAs cope with the degeneracy of the genetic code in two manners: having more than one tRNA (with a specific anti-codon) for a particular amino acid; and 'wobble' base-pairing, i.e. permitting non-standard base-pairing at the 3rd anti-codon position. Lineage: Eukaryota; Metazoa; Chordata; Lepidosauria; Squamata; Lacertidae. The record is from RNAcentral.